CCAGUACCGUGAGGGAAAGGCGAAAAGAACCCCGGCGAGGGGAGUGAAAAAGAACCUGAAACCGUGUACGUACAAGCAGUGGGAGCACGCUUAGGCGUGUGACUGCGUACCUUUUGUAUAAUGGGUCAGCGACUUAUAUUCUGUAGCAAGGUUAACCGAAUAGGGGAGCCGAAGGGAAACCGAGUCUUAACUGGGCGUUAAGUUGCAGGGUAUAGACCCGAAACCCGGUGAUCUAGCCAUGGGCAGGUUGAAGGUUGGGUAACACUAACUGGAGGACCGAACCGACUAAUGUUGAAAAAUUAGCGGAUGACUUGUGGCUGGGGGUGAAAGGCCAAUCAAACCGGGAGAUAGCUGGUUCUCCCC
Molecule: ribosomal RNA, 363 nt
Filed under: Staphylococcus argenteus
Lineage: Bacteria; Bacillati; Bacillota; Bacilli; Caryophanales; Staphylococcaceae
Description: partial 23S ribosomal RNA
Rfam family: Bacterial large subunit ribosomal RNA
Source: RNAcentral